UAAUCGGCUCGCGUGUUUGGAUCGGCCCCGGGGCAGAGGGCGCGAGUGUAGCACCUCGCGAAAGCUGCAAAGGGUCCCGUGACAAUUAGCCUUAAACGACUAAUCUGGCUUGGUACGCGCGCUACUUUCAAAGUCGAUCUCCCUCGUUCUCGCUUCGAUCGUACUCCAUUUCCUUUAUUUUUUUUUCUUUUUUUUUUUUUUUAAUUUUUAGAUUUUCAUUUGAUCGGAUCCUUCAUCGACGAAGCUUUUUAGUUAUUUUGUUUCAGCGCGUUCGAGACAGAUUCUCGCGACGGUUAAAAGCACACACACACACGCAGAUCCUGCGUGCACACGUGUGGUUAUUUGCGGGUCAUAUAACGCGCGAGGCUCGCCGCCAGAGCGCGUCACCCUUGUAAAAUAUAUCAUAUAUAUAUAUAGA
Molecule: unclassified non-coding RNA, 418 nt
Filed under: Bombus terrestris (buff-tailed bumblebee)
Lineage: Eukaryota; Metazoa; Arthropoda; Insecta; Hymenoptera; Apidae
Description: misc RNA ENSBTSG00005034635.1
Source: RNAcentral